AGAGUUUGAUCCUGGCUCAGAAUCAACGCUGGCGGCGUGCCUCAGACAUGCAAGUCGAACGCGAAAGUCCCCUUCGGGGGGCAAGUAGAGUGGCGCACGGGUGAGUAACACGUAGGUAAUCUACCUUUGGAUUGGGAAUAACCACCGGAAACGGUGGCUAAUACCGAAUAAUGCAGCGGCACCUAAUGGUGACAGUUGUUAAAGCGGGGGAUCGCAAGACCUCGCGUCUGAAGAGGAGCCUGCGGCAGAUUAGCUAGUUGGUAAGGUAACGGCUUACCAAGGCGAUGAUCUGUAGCCGGCCUGAGAGGGCGGUCGGCCACACUGACACUGACAUACGGGUCAGACUCCUACGGGAGGCAGCAGUCGGGAAUUUUGGGCAAUGGGCGAAAGCCUGACCCAGCAACGCCGCGUGAAGGAUGAAAUCCUUCGGGACGUAAACUCCUUUCGAUCGGGACGAUUAUGACGGUACCGGAAGAAGAAGCCCCGGCUAACUUCGUGCCAGCAGCCGCGGUAAUAC
Molecule: ribosomal RNA, 517 nt
Filed under: uncultured bacterium
Lineage: Bacteria
Description: bacterial SSU rRNA
Rfam family: Bacterial small subunit ribosomal RNA
Source: RNAcentral